GGGGGGACGGCACUCUUCACAUCUCCCCCCGCCCUGCUUCCCUGAUCGCCCUCCCCACCCACUGACUCCCCAGUCCCUCAUCCCCAGGUUUCCAUUUACUGACUUCCCAGGAGCUCCUGAAAGCCAGCCCUGGGGAGCAGCAGGAUAAGGGGGGUCUCCUGCUCACCUUGUUGUCCAAGUCGAAGAGGUAAGAAUCAUCCUCUCUCACAUCAGCCUCAGCAUCAGAGAUCAGCUCCCCGACAUACCUGUGGGACAGGAAUCCAUGGUUCUGAAGGAGCCACCCGGCAGGAAUGGGCGAUAUGGGACAGAAGAGGGGCCAGGACUGCAGGAAGAGCCAGAGGUACAGGAGCGGCAAGGAACUCAAGGCAUGAGUCAGGGCAAGAGCACCCAUAUCUGGACACCAGAGGGAGGAGAGGAGCCGGCUAUCUAAGGAGGGUGUCAAGGUGCUCCUGGUGACUUACUCGCAGAUGAAGGUCCCCUGUGGGAUGGUCUGCAGGGCGCGGACCCCCCAGCCCAUUUUGGCUGUUCGGUAGAGCUGUAGUCGCACCCUGGGAGUAGGAGAGAGGGCACUGUUGGGUGGAGGCCCUGGAAAAGCCCCAGGGGCAGGGAGGAAAGGGUGAGGUGGGGAGAGGGUGGGCUGUGGAGCAGGGCCUCACUUGAUACCACUCUGUACGACCCGGUUCUUGCAGUUUCUCCAGCAGGAGCACGCCUGGUUACACUCGAAAAUCAGCGGGGGCUCAAUCUUGUUAAAUUCCUGGAGCAAUCGCCCAUCCUAGGGUGCGGAGGGGAACACAGUGGUUUCACCUUGGGGGCCACCUCAGCUGCCUGCCCAGGAACCCCAAGACUCUACAGAAAAAUCCACUGCUGAACCCAACCCAGAGACAGAGAAGAUGGGGUUGGGGAGGUCACACAGGCUCUGAGAUCCAAGAGCAGGAAAUGCAGGAGCAUCAUCCCUGAUUUGCAUAGACCUGGGCACACACCCAUCGCCAUCCCAGCCAUGUCCCAGGAUUCCCAGGCCUUGCCCCGUCCUCUCAGUCACUUCCCCCACAGGGUAGGUGAAGGACAAGGUCCCAGGGAGCUGGCCUGUUGGAGGCUGGCUCCUCUGAAGGAGGGGCCGGGUGUCUGUGGCCAAGGCAAGGGGCACGCACCUUGUCAUACCAGCACCGGAUGCUGAGCUGGCCGCACAGGCAGUUGGAGCUGGAGCAGUCGUCCACACACGUGCAGUGCUGGGGCGAGGAGGCAGGGGUCAGCUCAACCCCACGAUAGGUCUGGGUUCCUCCACUCUCGGUGCCCCGACCCCCUAACCACUGUCCUCUCUUUGGGGUCCAUGUGUUACAACAGUGGGUGGCGAUGGUCCGAGGGUGAUGGGGAAUCAGUAUGUUGCUCAUGGUGAUGUCCCCACGGCUACUGGGAGUUCAUAUGACACCUUUCUGUGACCCAGGAAAAGGUUCCCUCCCCUGGGGUGGAUGCGACCCCACACCAGGGCUCCCUUUCAGCCAACCCUUCCUAGGCCAGGUGCCUUUGUUGGUUUGAAGCUUGUCUAACUGUACUUGGCAGCUCUCGGUGUCCUUUUGGGGAGGCCCCGGCCCCGUACUCACCUGCAGGUGGGUGAUGUUGCGGUCAAUGUUCAUGGUGGACGUCUCACAGUUCUCCGAGAUAUACUUGUAAUCCUCGGGGCAGGACUCCCCGUCCACGCCAUUGACACAGGGAAUGGGCACGUUCUCAUAGCCCCGAGCCACGUCCCUGCAGAAGACGGGGAGAAGGUGAUGGCAGGCUGGAACGGGGUGAGGAGCUACUCCAGGUACAGGGAGACAGUUGGGGAGGUUCCUGGGGCUGGGGGAAGGGGAGUAAGGUUGGCAGGUAAGAUGCAGGACAGCCAGUUAACGUGGAAUUUUUGAUAAACAAGAAAUAGCUUUUUAGUACACUAUGUCCCAAAAAUUACACAGGACAUUCUCGCACUAAAAAAGUAUGCAUCUGUGCAUCUAAAAUUCCAGUUUAA
This 1999-nucleotide long non-coding RNA is filed under the name Macaca fascicularis (crab-eating macaque). RNAcentral describes it as "uncharacterized LOC107986588". Lineage: Eukaryota; Metazoa; Chordata; Mammalia; Primates; Cercopithecidae. The record is from RNAcentral.